Molecule: ribosomal RNA, 524 nt
Filed under: Oxyrrhis marina
Lineage: Eukaryota; Dinophyceae; Oxyrrhinales; Oxyrrhinaceae
Description: partial Bacterial small subunit ribosomal RNA
Rfam family: Bacterial small subunit ribosomal RNA
Source: RNAcentral
AAAGGCCGGGAUCUUCGGACCGGUCACUAUUGGAUGAGCCUGCGUAAGAUUAGCUAGUUGGUGGGGUAAAGGCCUACCAAGGCGACGAUCCGUAGCUGGUCUGAGAGGAUGAUCAGCCACAUCGGGACUGAGACACGGCCCGAACUCCUACGGGAGGCAGCAGUGGGGAAUAUUGGACAAUGGGGGAAACCCUGAUCCAGCAAUGCCGCGUGAGUGAUGAAGGCCUUAGGGUUGUAAAGCUCUUUUACCCGGGAUGAUAAUGACAGUACCGGGAGAAUAAGCUCCGGCUAACUCCGUGCCAGCAGCCGCGGUAAUACGGAGGAUCCAAGCGUUAUCCGGAAUCAUUGGGUUUAAAGGGUCCGCAGGCGGAUUUAUAAGUCAGUGGUGAAAGCCUACAGCUUAACUGUAGAACUGCCAUUGAUACUGUAAGUCUUGAAUUCGGUCGAAGUGGGCGGAAUAUGUCAUGUAGCGGUGAAAUGCUUAGAUAUGACAUAGAACACCGAUAGCGAAGGCAGCUCACUAGG